This 1806-nucleotide long non-coding RNA is filed under the name Homo sapiens (human). RNAcentral's name for it is "HSALNT0310704". The record is from RNAcentral. Lineage: Eukaryota; Metazoa; Chordata; Mammalia; Primates; Hominidae.
CAACUUUGUAUCACCUGAGCUUAACUAACACCUGGCACAGAGAAGAAACAUAUUAAGGAUUUGCUGAGAGAAUAAGAUAGUAUAACUUGGUCUUAUAUCUAAGGUUUGAUUUUCUAGGAACCUAUAGUGAAUUUUAGGCUUGCUUUUCAGUUUUUGUAGCAGGGAUGUAGCACAGGUUUGGGACUCAGCACACCUAGUCUGAAAGCUGAUUUCUGUCACAGCAUGCAUGAGGGACAGUCUCUUCAGUUUAUUUAUACCUUAGUGCUGUGAUUCUCGAGCUUAUAGACACUGUGAGGACAGAAUUUUAGCUCUUUAAACAAAGGGGGGCAAAUAUACAGUGACCUCUAUCUAUGUAGGUAUUUAACUGAAAGGAAUUCCAGGGCCAAGUGUGUCUACUAUUAAAAGAAACGUACUUUUCUUACAAUGUAGUCCCUGAAUGCAAAUCAUGGUUUUAUCUGGUGGGCAACUGAAGAAACAGCAAUCUGAACUGAUAUGGGAGGCAGACCUCACUGUAACAGGAUUAGUGAGAAACAGUGUUUGUGGCUCUUAAUUGCUCAUUUUUUUUUUUUUAAUGGGGGAUGUUAGGGAUUUUCUAAGGGCAGGUUUAUCCAUAUGCAGAGUUGAUGUUAGGAUGUAAUACCACAAAGAUGUAAUUAACUCCUCUGUUUGUGGUCUCCAUGUUAAUUCACUCUCAUAAGAGGGUAUGCAGUGUGGUCACUAUUCUACCACCAUUUUUAAGAAAAAAUUUAAAACUAUUUUUUAUCUUCCAAAUUAAAUAUUUUGCUAUUUGAUAAGUUAACAAUGCAACAGAAAAUCAAUAUAACUUUUAUCUUUACCAGAAGCCAUAAAAGUCUAUCUAGGAAAAUUUCAGAUGUGUGAACAUGGCUUUAGAGAAGGAACUCAACUACAGACUAUAAGAAAUGUAAAACCAAGCCAGGUUCCUGUUGUGGUCCUUUAUUAUGACCUGGUGACCUAAGCUAGAGAAUCACAGCACUAAGGUAUAAGUAAACCAAAUAGCAUGCAUUGGCUUUAGUUCAGAAGGGGAUUUUUGUGCAGAAAAUAAAUUGAAAGUAGGGCCUCUGGCCAGCAUAAACAGAUAAGAAAAAAGUAUGAUUCCCUACGUCUCAAAAAUGACUCCUUCACACAUCCCACCAAUCAAAGAUCCAUUUGGAAUAACAGGUCUUCUAAAAGCUGCCAUAGAAGUUAAGCCUCCUACCACCUAUACUUCUGUGUGAAUUGAUUUAGUCUGGAGGCAUUUUGAUUGCUUUUCUCCUAACACCUAACUUAGAAGGUGAAAUAGAGGUCUUGUUUGGAGGGAAUUGAAGAAGGAAAAGGAAAGGGCAAUUUCAGAUCAAGGGAUAUGUUGGAAUGGUGGAAAAGUAGGAUCAUUAGGACAGCUGGGAACAGUCUUUUAGUUCUUGGAAGCCAGGAAAAAGAUGUAGAGAGAAGGGCAGAAGUGGUCAAGGCUCCAUGAAAAGGAGGAUGUAGCAGUCAAAUUGGAUGUCGACCAUGCAACAAUGACGUCAGGAACCCUGCUUGGUAUACCAUCUGUACCUGUCUGUACAGCUAUGAUCAUCCUGUAACUGCUGAUGCUGCCUCAUUGCUCUGCUCCAUUGCCUCACCCCAAGCUUUCAAAGUCAUCUCCUACUCUACUCCAGGCUUGCAGACAACAGAUCAUGGAACUUCUUGGCCUCCAUAAUCUCAUGAGCCAAUUUCUAAAAGCAUGUGGGGCUCCCUUGGCAUCUUUGACUUGUAGAAAGUGUAAUAUGGAGUUUCCAGACUAGAACACAAGCUCCAUACAAAGAG